Molecule: long non-coding RNA, 573 nt
Organism: Condylostylus longicornis
Lineage: Eukaryota; Metazoa; Arthropoda; Insecta; Diptera; Dolichopodidae
Exons: 3
Source: RefSeq, a predicted model, not a curated record
GCGAGCGUAAAUGUAUUGCACAAUUAUAAAUGAAAAUAAUAAAAGUCAAUUUUGGCAUCGAUUCAAGAAACAAUGGAUGUAAGUACAUCUACAUGGGAAAGGGAUUAAAAGCUGAACAAGAUCUUUGCUUACUAUUCCAAGUUUGUUUCCCAUUCACAUAUGAAUAUGCUGGAAAAUGAAUUUUUAUUAAACAAACGGAUAGGAUUUCCAAGUGGAUUGAAAAAAUUUUGUGUAUGCUAAAGGAAUGGUUUGAGUAUUCUUGUUUUAUAAUAGUGUUUUCCGCGUGUAGCUUCUAGUGGUAGCUUCUAAUACAAUACAGAAUUUUAAAUGAAAAGUUCUUAUAAUUUGAAGUAUUCGCAUUAAUUGUAUUGGUGCAGCAAAUUUUAAAUUUGAUCAUUUUCGUUUUUCAUACGAACACAAAGGUAAUAGAAUACUGAUAUAAACUUAACUUAAGAAGAAGAAGAGCAUUAAGACAAUAAAAUUGGCAUCAUAAAUUUUAUAAAUUUAUUUUUGAUCAAAUAUAAUUUUUCUGCAUUAAAUUAAGAAUUUAAAUAAUCUAAAACAUUAUUAUAU